Molecule: non-coding RNA, 71 nt
Organism: Phrynosoma platyrhinos (Desert horned lizard)
Lineage: Eukaryota; Metazoa; Chordata; Lepidosauria; Squamata; Phrynosomatidae
Source: the annotation of a GenBank genome assembly
GCCAGCAUGGCAUAGUGGUUUGGUAUUGGAUUAGGACUCCAACGACCAGGGAUCAAUUCCCUGCUCAGCCA